Molecule: long non-coding RNA, 402 nt
Organism: Leptinotarsa decemlineata (Colorado potato beetle)
Lineage: Eukaryota; Metazoa; Arthropoda; Insecta; Coleoptera; Chrysomelidae
Source: RefSeq, a predicted model, not a curated record
CGACGAAAGAGACAACUUUUACAGCACCGCUUCUUUAGUACCACGACGGUACCCAUGACGGUACCACGUGCGUUCAGGUGCGUUUAUCAGUGACGGUACAAUAUGUGAUUUGGAUUUUUUAUUGGAUAUACCAAGCUAUCUCAGGAUAUGGAAUGUGGCUAUGACGUAUCAUGCCUACAAGGACGAACAGCAGUGUUACCAGGUGGGCGCGACAGAGACGGAAGACCCAUUUUGUUGCUAACAGUACCACUCGACUCUCCUUCGUUAGAUGCCGUUCCGGCUCUCCAGUACUUACUUUCUCUAUUCAGUAAAACUAGUCGAUCUAAAGGUGUCACAGUGAUAAUAGAUGCAAGAAAAGGCCCCUGGAAAGUUGCUAGAUCAUGUAUACGUCAAGUAACUGCU